Molecule: long non-coding RNA, 244 nt
Filed under: Gossypium barbadense (sea-island cotton)
Lineage: Eukaryota; Viridiplantae; Streptophyta; Magnoliopsida; Malvales; Malvaceae
Description: long non-coding RNA (GBAR_LNC015698)
Source: RNAcentral
UAAAAAUAAAAAAAAUUAAUAGAAAUAAAGUUUUCCUAAUAUUUUAGUCACUGACAACGAUGCCAAAAACUUGAUGCCCAUGAAACCAACUAAAAAUCUGAAUAAGGCAAGUGCACAUAUCAAGUAAUAGUAUAGCUAGGAUGAGCAAAGAUAUCAUUCUCAUGAAGACUAAAAGUAUUAGUAAUUGUCGCCUUUCUAUUAUUUAACCGAUAAAUUCGAGUGAUUAAUUAAAACUAAAAUUAAC